GAUGAACGCUGGCGGCGUGCCUAAUACAUGCAAGUCGAGCGAACAGACGAGGAGCUUGCUCCUCUGACGUUAGCGGCGGACGGGUGAGUAACACGUGGAUAACCUACCUAUAAGACUGGGAUAACUUCGGGAAACCGGAGCUAAUACCGGAUAAUAUAUUGAACCGCAUGGUUCAAUAGUGAAAGACGGUUUUGCUGUCACUUAUAGAUGGAUCCGCGCCGCAUUAGCUAGUUGGUAAGGUAACGGCUUACCAAGGCGACGCUGCGUAGCCGACCUGAGAGGGGGUGCGGCCACAGUGGAACUGAGACACGGUCCAGACUCCUACGGGAGGCAGAAGUAGGGAAUCUUCGGCAAUGGGCGAAAGCUUGACGGAGCAACGCCGCGUGGGUGAUGAAGGUCUUCGGAUCGUAAAACUCUGUUAUGGGGGAAGAACAAAUGUGUAAGUAACUAUGCACGUCUUGACGGUACCUGAUCAGAAAGCAACGGCUAACUACGUG
Molecule: ribosomal RNA, 497 nt
Filed under: uncultured bacterium
Lineage: Bacteria
Description: partial 16S ribosomal RNA
Rfam family: Bacterial small subunit ribosomal RNA
Source: RNAcentral